CUCGUAGGCUGCCAACUAAGUCGGACGUGAAAUCCCUCGGCUUAACCGGGGAACUGCGUCCGAUACUGGAUGGCUUGAGUUUGGGAGAGGGAUGCGGAAUUCCAGGUGUAGCGGUGAAAUGCGUAGAUAUCUGGAGGAACACCGGUGGCGAAGGCGGCAUCCUGGACCAAUACUGACGCUGAGGAGCGAAAGCCAGGGGAGCAAAC
This 206-nucleotide ribosomal RNA is filed under the name uncultured bacterium. Its description in RNAcentral is "partial 16S ribosomal RNA". It matches the Rfam family "Bacterial small subunit ribosomal RNA", at positions 568 to 773 of the family's 1533-position model. The record is from RNAcentral.